Molecule: ribosomal RNA, 448 nt
Filed under: uncultured bacterium
Lineage: Bacteria
Description: partial 16S ribosomal RNA
Rfam family: Bacterial small subunit ribosomal RNA
Source: RNAcentral
UCCAGACUCCUACGGGAGGCAGCAGUGGGGGAUAUUGCACAAUGGGGGGAACCCUGAUGCAGCGACGCCGCGUGGGUGAAGGAGCGUUUCGGCGCGUAAAGCCCUAUCGGCAGGGAAGAAGGAGGACGGUACCUGACUAAGAAGCCCCGGCUAACUACGUGCCAGCAGCCGCGGUAAUACGUAGGGGGCAAGCGUUAUCCGGAUUUACUGGGUGUAAAGGGGGCGCAGACGGCAGCGCAAGCCAGGAGUGAAAGCCCGGGGCCCAACCCCGGGACUGCUCUUGGAACUGCGCGGCUGGAGUGCAGGAGGGGCAGGCGGAAUUCCUGGUGUAGCGGUGAAAUGCGUAGAUAUCAGGAGGAACACCGGUGGCGAAGGCGGCCUGCUGGACUGCGACUGACGUUGAGGCCCGAAAGCGUGGGGAGCAAACAGGAUUAGAUACCCCCGUAAG